Molecule: long non-coding RNA, 524 nt
Organism: Drosophila elegans
Lineage: Eukaryota; Metazoa; Arthropoda; Insecta; Diptera; Drosophilidae
Exons: 3
Source: RefSeq, a predicted model, not a curated record
UUUGGAUUUGUUUGGGAUUACACUUUAUACAUAUGUAUGUAUAUAUUUAUGCUUUAUUCAAAGUUUUUAGAUUAUCAAAGCACCAUCCUGAAGAAUACCCCAAAAUGGACCAACAGCUCUGCCUGAGUUGGAGCCACAAGCAGUCCGAAUUGGCCGGCGUGUUCGAUAAUCUGCUGGAGAACGAAUUCCUGACCGACUGCACCCUCGGUUUUUAGUCCUUACUUUGCCGCCCUGCUGCAGGAGCAGUACGACAAGCACCCCAUUUUCAUACUCAAGGAUGUCAAGUACCAGGAACUGCGCCCCACUAUUAUAAUUCGAUUUGAAGCUAUGUUGAUUUUCCGCCGUUUCCGUUCGUACUUAUACAUAUCUAUCUAUAUCUACCUAAUAUAAAAAAAAAAUGAAAAGGGGAAAGUUGUUAGCAUUAGAACUGAAAAAAUAAUAGAAAAUAGAUGGACAAGACUAGAUCGAAACUAAAAGUACUCCAUAUCAAUAACAGAACUAUAUUUCUAAUGAUAAAAUAAGAA